ACCAUUACGUCUGAAAGACGCACUUGAUGCAGUGCCUACACAGAUAGUGCUUGUAUAUAUUCCAAAGAUGACUUAUAUAAGAGCCCUUAGCUUCGAUUUAAGAUCAAACCUAAGUGUCUCGUGAAUUAAGCACUAUGGUCUUUAACAAUUUGGAAAGCUGAUAUUAAUAGUAAUCAAUCAAAAUUGAGUAACUGAGAAAGUCGAAAGACGUACUUUUUACUCUACUUGACUUGAAUUGCUUGUUAUCAACAUUGAUUGAUAGCAAGGCAAUUCUUCCGAUUAGCUUGUCAUGCAUACAACAUUACCCUUGUCCGAUUUCAAAAGGCGGACAUGAGGCCGAUACUCAAGGCUUUUUAGGGUUGUAU
This 365-nucleotide unclassified non-coding RNA is filed under the name Alteromonas macleodii. RNAcentral describes it as "partial 16S-23S ribosomal RNA intergenic spacer". Lineage: Bacteria; Pseudomonadati; Pseudomonadota; Gammaproteobacteria; Alteromonadales; Alteromonadaceae. The record is from RNAcentral.